RNAcentral lists this ribosomal RNA (195 nucleotides) under uncultured bacterium. Its description in RNAcentral is "partial 16S ribosomal RNA". It matches the Rfam family "Bacterial small subunit ribosomal RNA", at positions 338 to 525 of the family's 1533-position model. The record is from RNAcentral.
CCUACGGGAGGCAGCAGUGGGGAAUAUUGCACAAUGGGCGCAAGCCUGAUGCAGCCAUGCCGCGUGUGUGAAGAAGGCCUUCGGGUUGUAAAGCACUUUCAGCGGGGAGGAAGGCGAUAAGGUUAAUAACCUUGUCGAUUGACGUUACCCGCAGAAGAAGCACCGGCUAACUCCGUGCCAGCAGCCGCGGUAAUA